GUUAGAUUUUUAUGCCCCCGCCAUGUAAUGGCCGGGGCAUAUAGUGUUACCCUGUUCCGUCCUUCCGUCAUUCCGUCCUUCCGUCCUUCCGUCAUUCCGUCCUUCCGUCAUUCUGUCAUUCCGUCAUCAUCAGUUUCCGUUCAUUAUCUUAGUAACGGUUGCACAUAUUCAACUCAAAUUUGGCAUAUGGAUAUGUCAUGAGAAAAUACAGGUCAAGUUCGAAUUUGGUCAUGGUUCGAUGAUUUUUGGCAGAGUUAUGCCCCUUUUACUUUGAAAAUAAUAUGAAAUUUUCAGUUUCCGUUCAUUAUCUCCCCAACGGUACAACACAUUCAAAUCAAAUUUGACAUAUGGAUAUGUCAUGAGAAAAUACAGGUCAAGUUCGAAUUUGGUCAUGGUUCGAUGAUUUUUGGCAGAGUUAUGCCCCUUUACUUUGAAAAUAAUAUGAAAUUUUCAGUUUCCGUUCAUUAUCUCCCCAACGGUACAACACAUUCAACUCAAAUUUGACAUAUGGAUAUGUCAUGAGAAAAUACAGGUCAAGUUCGAAUAUGGUCAUGGUUCGAUGAUUUUUGGCAGAGUUAUGCCCCUUUUACUUUGAAAAUAAUAUGAAAUUUUCAGUUUCCGUUCAUUAUCUCCCCAACGGUACAACACA
Molecule: long non-coding RNA, 649 nt
Organism: Ruditapes philippinarum (Manila clam)
Lineage: Eukaryota; Metazoa; Mollusca; Bivalvia; Venerida; Veneridae
Exons: 2
Source: RefSeq, a predicted model, not a curated record